This 516-nucleotide ribosomal RNA is filed under the name uncultured bacterium. RNAcentral describes it as "bacterial SSU rRNA". It matches the Rfam family "Bacterial small subunit ribosomal RNA", at positions 32 to 518 of the family's 1533-position model. The record is from RNAcentral.
AACGCUGGCGGCGUGCCUAAUACAUGCAAGUCGAACGGUCUUUCUAUGGAAGCUUGCUUCCGACUGAGAAGAUAGUGGCGAACGGGUGAGUAACACGUGGGUAACCUGCCCAUAAGAGGGGGGAUAACAUCCGGAAACGGGUGCUAAUACCGCAUAGUUUUCUUGAUCGCAUGAUCGGGAAAGGAAAGACGGCCUUUGUGCUGUCGCUUAUGGAUGGACCCGCGGCGUAUUAGUUAGUUGGUGAGGUAACGGCUCACCAAGACGAUGAUACGUAGCCGACCUGAGAGGGUGAUCGGCCACAUUGGGACUGAGACACGGCCCAAACUCCUACGGGAGGCAGCAGUAGGGAAUCUUCCGCAAUGGACGAAAGUCUGACGGAGCAACGCCGCGUGAGUGGAAAGAAGGUUUUCGGAUCGUAAAACUCUGUUGUCAGAGAAGAACAAGUUGGAGAGUAACUGCUCCAGCCUUGACGGUAUCUGACCAGAAAGCCACGGCUAACUACGUGCCAGCCGCCGC